This 467-nucleotide ribosomal RNA is filed under the name uncultured bacterium. RNAcentral's name for it is "bacterial SSU rRNA". It matches the Rfam family "Bacterial small subunit ribosomal RNA", at positions 32 to 510 of the family's 1533-position model. The record is from RNAcentral.
AAUCAACGCUGGCGGCGUGCCUCAGACAUGCAAGUCGAACGAUUAAAGCUCUCUUCGGAGAGUGCAUAGAGUGGCGCACGGGUGAGUAACACGUAAGUAAUCUACCUUCGAGUGGGGAAUAACGUCCGGAAACGGACGCUAAUACCGCAUAAUGCAGCGGCAUCGUAAGAUGACAGUUGUUAAAGAUUUAUCGCUUGAAGAGGAGCUUGCGGCAGAUUAGCUAGUUGGUAAGGUAAUGGCUUACCAAGGCUACGAUCUGUAACCGGUCUUAGAGGACGGUCGGUCACACUGACACUGAAUAACGGGUCAGACUCCUACGGGAGGCAGCAGUCGGGAAUUUUGGGCAAUGGGCGAAAGCCUGACCCAGCAACGCCGCGUGAAGGAUGAAGUAUUUCGGUAUGUAAACUUCGAAAGAAUAGGAAGAAUAAAUGACGGUACUAUUAUAAGGUCCGGCUAACUACGUGCCA